CCAGGAAUCUUGGGCAAUGGGCGAAAGCCUGACCCAGCAACACCGUGUGAGUGACGAAGGCUCUAGGGUCGUAAAGCUCUGUUGAUAGGGACGAAGGGCGAAGGGUUAAUAGCCCGGAGCUUGACGGUACCUUUCGAGGAAGCCCCGGCUAACUACGUGCCAGCAGCCGCGGUAAUACGUAGGGGGCGAGCGUUGUCCGGAAUUAUUGGGCGUAAAGAGCGUGUAGGCGGUUCGGUAAGUCUGCCGUGAAAACCUGGGGCUCAACCCCGGGCGUGCGGUGGAUACUGCCGGGCUAGAGGGUGGUAGAGGCGAGUGGAAUUCCGAGUGUAGCGGUGAAAUGCGCAGAUAUUCGGAGGAACACCAGUAGCGAAGGCGGCUCGCUGGGCCACACCUGACGCUG
RNAcentral lists this ribosomal RNA (400 nucleotides) under uncultured bacterium. RNAcentral describes it as "bacterial SSU rRNA". It matches the Rfam family "Bacterial small subunit ribosomal RNA", at positions 355 to 748 of the family's 1533-position model. The record is from RNAcentral.